Molecule: transfer RNA, 73 nt
Filed under: Chloroflexota bacterium
Lineage: Bacteria; Bacillati; Chloroflexota
Description: Chloroflexi bacterium (sediment metagenome) tRNA-Asn
Rfam family: tRNA
About the family: Transfer RNA (tRNA) molecules are approximately 80 nucleotides in length.
Source: RNAcentral
UCCUCGUUAGCUCAAUCGGCAGAGCAACCGGCUGUUAACCGGUAGGUUCCUGGUUCAAGCCCAGGACGAGGAG